RNAcentral lists this ribosomal RNA (433 nucleotides) under uncultured bacterium. Its description in RNAcentral is "partial 16S ribosomal RNA". It matches the Rfam family "Bacterial small subunit ribosomal RNA", at positions 29 to 507 of the family's 1533-position model. The record is from RNAcentral.
AACGAACGCUGGCGGCAUGCCUAACACAUGCAAGUCGAACGAGACCUUCGGGUCUAGUGGCGCACGGGUGCGUAACGCGUGGGAACCUGCCCUUAGGUUCGGAAUAACUCCCCGAAAGGGGUGCUAAUACCGGAUAAUGUCUUCGGACCAAAGAUUUAUCGCCUUUGGAUGGGCCCGCGUUGGAUUAGCUAGUUGGUAGGGUAAAAGCCUACCAAGGCGACGAUCCAUAGCUGGCCUGAGAGGAUGAUCAGCCACACUGGGACUGAGACACGGCCCAGACUCCUACGGGAGGCAGCAGUGGGGAAUAUUGGACAAUGGGCGAAAGCCUGAUCCAGCAAUGCCGCGUGAGUUAUGAAGGCCUUAGGGUUGUAAAGCUCUUUUACCCGGGAUGAUAAUGACAGUACCGGGAGAAUAAGCUCCGGCUAACUCCGUG